This 305-nucleotide ribosomal RNA is filed under the name uncultured bacterium. Its description in RNAcentral is "bacterial SSU rRNA". It matches the Rfam family "Bacterial small subunit ribosomal RNA", at positions 333 to 630 of the family's 1533-position model. The record is from RNAcentral.
GGAUACCUACGGGACGCAGCAGUAGGGAAUCUUCCACAAUGGGCGAAAGCCUGAUGGAGCAACGCCGCGUGGGUGAAGAAGGUCUUCGGAUCGUAAAACCCUGUUGUUAGAGAAGAAAGUGUGUGAGAGUAACUGUUCACGUUUCGACGGUAUCUAACCAGAAAGCCACGGCUAACUACGUGCCAGCAGCCGCGGUAAUACGUAGGUGGCAAGCGUUAUCCGGAUUUAUUGGGCGUAAAGGGAACGCAGGCGGUCUUUUAAGUCUGAUGUGAAAGCCUUCGGCUUAACCGGAGUAGUGCAUUUGG